RNAcentral lists this ribosomal RNA (505 nucleotides) under uncultured bacterium. RNAcentral describes it as "partial 16S ribosomal RNA". It matches the Rfam family "Bacterial small subunit ribosomal RNA", at positions 28 to 507 of the family's 1533-position model. The record is from RNAcentral.
GACGAACGCUGGCGGCGUGCCUAAUACAUGCAAGUAGGACGCACAGUCUAUACCGUAGCUUGCUACACCAUAGGCUGUGAGUUGCGAACGGGUGAGUAACGCGUAGGUAACCUGCCUAUUAGAGGGGGAUAACUAUUGGAAACGAUAGCUAAUACCGCAUAACAGUAUGUAACACAUGUUAGAUGCUUGAAAGAUGCAAUUGCAUCGCUAGUAGAUGGACCUGCGUUGUAUUAGCUAGUAGGUAGGGUAAUGGCCUACCUAGGCGACGAUACAUAGCCGACCUGAGAGGGUGAUCGGCCACACUGGGACUGAGACACGGCCCAGACUCCUACGGGAGGCAGCAGUAGGGAAUCUUCGGCAAUGGGGGGAAGCCUGACCGAGCAACGCCGCGUGAGUGAAGAAGGUUUUCGGAUCGUAAAGCUCUGUUGUUAAGGAAGAACGAGUGUGAGAAUGGAAAGUUCAUACUGUGACGGUACUUAACCAGAAAGGGACGGCUAACUACGUG